Long non-coding RNA from Peromyscus eremicus (cactus mouse), 630 nucleotides. RefSeq lists it as uncharacterized. The record is from RefSeq and is a predicted model, not a curated record. The transcript has 2 exons. Lineage: Eukaryota; Metazoa; Chordata; Mammalia; Rodentia; Cricetidae.
UCUCAUGGCCCCUCCUACUUCACAGACACACCCUCUCUUACCCCUCCUACUUCACAGACACACCCUCUCAUGGCCCCUCCUACUUCACAGACACACUCUCUGGUCCCUCCUACUUCACAGACACACCUUCUCAUGGCCCCUCCCACUUCACAGACACACCCCCUCCUGGCCCCUCCUACUUAGUCACCCACUCACCAAAGGCCUGGAAAGGUACCAUAGACAAAGCACCUACUGUGUGCUGAGCUCUCCUAACUUCACACUCCCUCCAGAAGACAGAUGAGCAAAAGAGAUUUCCACGUGAGAAAGGUCCCACCAGGUUCAAGUCCAAGGCAGGCUGAUCUACUUGAGUUAGGCCUAGAGGGGCAGGGAGAGAGGUUGGAGGCCUCUCUCCCUGGGUCUGCUCGCCUCACCCUUCACUCUUUACCUUCCUCUUCAGCCUGGGUGUCUGGACAAGAGCAGGAGAGCUGAUGCAGUUAAUUGGAGCGUCUUGAAAGUGCACAUUAACACAGAGAGAGCCGAGGAGACGUCUUGGCAGCAGAAUAUCGUUAUCACUUCUUGAGCUCCAGCCAAAAUCCCCUCGCGGUCAAAACACAAUUCUUUAAACUAAACAAUUAAAGAUUUGUGCGAGUG